Molecule: ribosomal RNA, 301 nt
Filed under: uncultured bacterium
Lineage: Bacteria
Description: partial 16S ribosomal RNA
Rfam family: Bacterial small subunit ribosomal RNA
Source: RNAcentral
CAGUAGCCGCGGGAACACGGAGGGUGCAAGCGUUAUCCGGAUUCACUGGGUUUAAAGGGUGCGUAGGCGGAUCUGUAAGUCAGUGGUGAAAUCUCCAGGCUUAACCUGGAAACUGCCGUUGAUACUAUAGGUCUUGAAUUUUGUGGAGGUUAGCGGAAUAUGUCAUGUAGCGGUGAAAUGCAUAGAUAUGACAUAGAACACCAAUUGCGAAGGCAGCUGGCUACACAACUAUUGACGCUGAGGCACGAAAGCGUGGGGAUCAAACAGGAUUAGAUACCCCCGUAGUCCCUGUCUCUUAUAC